RNAcentral lists this ribosomal RNA (97 nucleotides) under Loxodonta africana (African savanna elephant). The record is from RNAcentral. Lineage: Eukaryota; Metazoa; Chordata; Mammalia; Proboscidea; Elephantidae.
UGUAGCCUACCUGGCAACCUGAUCUCAUCUGAUCUUGGACGUUAAGCAGGGUUGGACUUGGGUAGUACUUAGAUGGGAGAGAUUUUACUUUUUAUAC